UUAAGCGACUAAGCGUACACGGUGGAUGCCCUGGCAGUCAGAGGCGAUGAAGGACGUGCUAAUCUGCGAAAAGCGUCGGUAAGGUGAUAUGAACCGUUACAGCCGGCGAUGUCCGAAUGGGGAAACCCAGUGCAAUUCGUUGCACUAUCGUUAACUGAAUACAUAGGUUAACGAGGCGAACCGGGGGAACUGAAACAUCUAAGUACCCCGAGGAAAAGAAAUCAACCGAGAUUCCCCCAGUAGCGGCGAGCGAACGGGGAGCAGCCCAGAGUCUGAAUCAGCUUGUGUGUUAGUGGAACGGUCUGGAAAGUCCGACGGUACAGGGUGAUAGUCCCGUACACCAAAAUGCACAGGUUGUGAACUCGAAGAGUAGGGCGGGACACGUGGUAUCCUGUCUGAAUAUGGGGGGACCAUCCUCCAAGGCUAAAUACUCCUGACUGACCGAUAGUGAACCAGUACCGUGAGGGAAAGGCGAAAAGAACCCCGGCGAGGGGAGUGAAAAAGAACCUGAAACCGUGUACGUACAAGCAGUGGGAGCACCUUCGGGUGUGACUGCGUACCUUUUGUAUAAUGGGUCAGCGACUUAUAUUCUGUAGCAAGGUUAACCGUAUAGGGGAGCCGCAGGGAAACCGAGUCUUAACUGGGCGUUAAGUUGCAGGGUAUAGACCCGAAACCCGGUGAUCUAGCCAUGGGCAGGUUGAAGGUUGGGUAACACUAACUGGAGGACCGAACCGACUAAUGUUGAAAAAUUAGCGGAUGACUUGUGGCUGGGGGUGAAAGGCCAAUCAAACCGGGAGAUAGCUGGUUCUCCCCGAAAGCUAUUUAGGUAGCGCCUCGUGAANNNNNNNNNNNNNNNNNNNNNNNNUCAUCUUCGGGGGUAGAGCACUGUUUCGGCUAGGGGGUCAUCCCGACUUACCAACCCGAUGCAAACUACGAAUACCGAAGAAUGUUAUCACGGGAGACACACGGCGGGUGCUAACGUCCGUCGUGAAGAGGGAAACAACCCAGACCGCCAGCUAAGGUCCCAAAGUCAUGGUUAAGUGGGAAACGAUGUGGGAAGGCACAGACAGCCAGGAUGUUGGCUUAGAAGCAGCCAUCAUUUAAAGAAAGCGUAAUAGCUCACUGGUCGAGUCGGCCUGCGCGGAAGAUGUAACGGGGCUAAACCAUGCACCGAAGCUGCGGCAGCGACACUAUGUGUUGUUGGGUAGGGGAGCGUUCUGUAAGCCUGCGAAGGUGGCCUGUGAGGGUUGCUGGAGGUAUCAGAAGUGCGAAUGCUGACAUAAGUAACGAUAAAGCGGGUGAAAAGCCCGCUCGCCGGAAGACCAAGGGUUCCUGUCCAACGUUAAUCGGGGCAGGGUGAGUCGACCCCUAAGGCGAGGCCGAAAGGCGUAGUCGAUGGGAAACAGGUUAAUAUUCCUGUACUUGGUGUUACUGCGAAGGGGGGACGGAGAAGGCUAUGUUAGCCGGGCGACGGUUGUCCCGGUUUAAGCAUGUAGGCUGAUUGUCCAGGCAAAUCCGGAUAAUCAAGGCUGAGGUGUGAUGACGAGGCACUACGGUGCUGAAGUAACAAAUGCCCUGCUUCCAGGAAAAGCCUCUAAGCAUCAGGUAACAUNAAAUCGUACCCCAAACCGACACAGGUGGUCAGGUAGAGAAUACCAAGGCGCUUGAGAGAACUCGGGUGAAGGAACUAGGCAAAAUGGUGCCGUAACUUCGGGAGAAGGCACGCUGGUGUGUAGGUGAAGCCCCUGCGGGUGGAGCUGAGACCAGUCGAAGAUACCAGCUGGCUGCAACUGUUUAUUAAAAACACAGCACUGUGCAAACACGAAAGUGGACGUAUACGGUGUGACGCCUGCCCGGUGCCGGAAGGUUAAUUGAUGGGGUUAUCCGUAAGGAGAAGCUCUUGAUCGAAGCCCCGGUAAACGGCGGCCGUAACUAUAACGGUCCUAAGGUAGCGAAAUUCCUUGUCGGGUAAGUUCCGACCUGCACGAAUGGCGUAAUGAUGGCCAGGCUGUCUCCACCCGAGACUCAGUGAAAUUGAACUCGCUGUGAAGAUGCAGUGUACCCGCGGCAAGACGGAAAGACCCCGUGAACCUUUACUAUAGCUUGACACUGAACAUUGAGCCUUGAUGUGUAGGAUAGGUGGGAGGCUUUGAAGCGUGGACGCCAGUCUGCGUGGAGCCAACCUUGAAAUACCACCCUUUAAUGUUUGAUGUUCUAACGUUGGCCCCUUACCGGGGUUGCGGACAGUGUCUGGUGGGUAGUUUGACUGGGGCGGUCUCCUCCCAAAGCGUAACGGAGGAGCACGAAGGUUAGCUAAUCCUGGUCGGACAUCAGGAGGUUAGUGCAAUGGCAUAAGCUAGCUUGACUGCGAGCGUGACGGCGCGAGCAGGUGCGAAAGCAGGUCAUAGUGAUCCGGUGGUUCUGAAUGGAAGGGCCAUCGCUCAACGGAUAAAAGGUACUCCGGGGAUAACAGGCUGAUACCGCCCAAGAGUUCAUAUCGACGGCGGUGUUUGGCACCUCGAUGUCGGCUCAUCACAUCCUGGGGCUGAAGUAGGUCCCAAGGGUAUGGCUGUUCGCCAUUUAAAGUGGUACGCGAGCUGGGUUUAGAACGUCGUGAGACAGUUCGGUCCCUAUCUGCCGUGGGCGCUGGAGAAUUGAGGGGGGCUGCUCCUAGUACGAGAGGACCGGAGUGGACGCAUCACUGGUGUUCGGGUUGUCAUGCCAAUGGCACUGCCCGGUAGCUAAAUGCGGAAGAGAUAAGUGCUGAAAGCAUCUAAGCACGAAACUUGCCCCGAGAUGAGUUCUCCCUGAGACUAUAAGUCUCCUGAAGGAACGUUGAAGACGACGACGUUGAUAGGCCGGGUGUGUAAGCGCAGCGAUGCGUUGAGCUAACCGGUACUAAUGAACCGUGAGGCUUAACCUU
This 2923-nucleotide ribosomal RNA is filed under the name Klebsiella pneumoniae. RNAcentral's name for it is "bacterial LSU rRNA". It matches the Rfam family "Bacterial large subunit ribosomal RNA". The record is from RNAcentral. Lineage: Bacteria; Pseudomonadati; Pseudomonadota; Gammaproteobacteria; Enterobacterales; Enterobacteriaceae.